CUUUGAUGGUGUAAACGUCCUGCGGCAGCUCAGACUUCCUUCUCAUCAGGACUUUGUCCUUCAGUUUUCUUCAGCAGUUGAAUAUCUUCUGCUGUUGGAGUUUCUGUUUCCAUCGAGUACACAGCUACAGAGCUGUCACUGUACAACAGGACUCACCUCAUCUUGUGGGUGGAGUCCAGGGCGGAGGGGGUGGAGCUUAUUUUUCUGCAAGGACACAUGACAUUAGACAGGAUGUCAAGUGAGACCGAGACACACAGGUGAGGACACAGAGUGGCUCUUGGAGUUCUUGUACAGAGCAGGAAACAUGAUCGGCAGAAUCUUGGCCGCG
Long non-coding RNA from Solea senegalensis (Senegalese sole), 328 nucleotides. RefSeq lists it as uncharacterized. The record is from RefSeq and is a predicted model, not a curated record. The transcript has 4 exons. NCBI's taxonomy places the organism in Eukaryota, Metazoa, Chordata, Actinopteri, Pleuronectiformes, Soleidae.